Mercurialis annua (annual mercury) is the source of this 1505-nucleotide RNA transcript. RefSeq lists it as uncharacterized. The record is from RefSeq and is a predicted model, not a curated record. The transcript is spliced from 6 exons. Lineage: Eukaryota; Viridiplantae; Streptophyta; Magnoliopsida; Malpighiales; Euphorbiaceae.
UCAGACGGCUUAAACCAUCUCUAAAAUGAAGAUUGGUUAUUUAAAUAGUUUUAGGAAAACUGAUUUCAGCCUAAUCAUUCUUUCGGAGCCGAUAUUUUCCUUGUUUUUUGUUCUUCUCUUUUCUUUUUUCAGAGACAUCAUCAACGCUGAACAAAAAAUUUCAUUCGAUCAAUUAAACAAUUUUCGAAAGUUUCAGAGCAAUUCUUAUUCGAUUAAGGUCUGAAGAAGUGCAGAUUGUGGAAGUUUUAGUUCUAUGUUUUCAAUCUAUGGAGCAAGCAAAAGUGUAUCUUCUUGGUACAAAGCCGUUUGGGAUGCAUUUGGAGCUAUGUGGAAGAGGAGACGCCCAAAGCUCUUGUCAGCUAAUUAUGACUAUUUACUUAAAGAAAGCUGAUGGUUCUCAGGGUAAAUAAUGUUUUUACUUGAAACUUACAGGUGAUGGUUCUCAGGAUAAACCGGUGACACUACACAAAAUCAGCAGUGAAGAUGAUGACGGGAAGAAUGGAGAACCUAAAAUCUUUAGAACUCCUUUUAAUGGAAGCCAGUAAGUAGUCAAUUUCCAGUUCUGCAUUAUCGAACUUUUAUGUUCUGUUUCUUAAUGGUUUCCUCUCUUCAGACUCCAUCUGAAGAAAAGCACAAAGAUUACUGAUUUCCAGCGCCGAGCUGGUCAAUUGCCAGUUCAAAAGGAGGUCUAACUUUAACUAGGAUAUUUGUAGCAACAUUCUCUGCUUAUUUCUCUAUAUCCACAUUUUGUAAUAGUUGGUUCCUUAUUGAAUUGCAGGGUGAUGAUGUGCAUUACGGAGGUGUCAUGCACCGUGAUGGCUCCAUUCUCAUGUUAGUUUCAACAGAUCAAUUAAAGAAUGUUUUAUGUGAAUAACACAAGCAAUCCAGCAUUUAUGGAAACUAACUUUUGUGCUCGCAUAAUCAGACAAGGGUUAUUGCUGCUUUUGAUUUUGAUGCAUAUGCUGCCUAGCUGCUUCAAAUUCUCCGCAAUUUUGGUUCUUCAGGUAUAAGCUCUUUGUUCUGGUUUUCUAUUGCAUAAAUAUUAAAGUUGAUGAUUUCACCGGAUUCGAUGUUCCAUUGAGAAAUGAACUGAGGUUUUGAAUUAAAUUCAAAAAUGGCUGUGUUGAUAAUUUGAGGUUUAAUUUCAAAUUUGAAGAAAUCAUCAACGUUAAAGAAUAAUUAGUUGCACUUUGAGCUAGAUAUCUUUUAAUAUGAGGAAGAUGUAGCAGUUGGUGAAAGUAGAUCACCAAGUUGGACUAAUCUAUUCCAGGACUCAUGAAUGUAGACUCGAGUGCACACUAGUUGGAAUAGUAACCGAUUCAAAUCAAAUUUCUUAGAUAAGGGUAUGCAUUUGCUUAAAGGUAUGAUAAUUUGUAUUUCUUCUAUCUGCUCAGUUUUUUAGCUGCAUUUUUGCUUGAAGCAAUUUGUGCACUUGUAUAUUCAGGUUGUGAUUGUGCUUGGGACUGAACAAUGGGAUUUCGUUUCAUUUUAGUUUUUUUUUUUAA